Molecule: unclassified non-coding RNA, 211 nt
Filed under: Hevea brasiliensis (rubber tree)
Lineage: Eukaryota; Viridiplantae; Streptophyta; Magnoliopsida; Malpighiales; Euphorbiaceae
Source: RNAcentral
GCCUCUCUCUGCUUUUCGUGUCGGACUUUUCUUGUGCUUCCCUCGAGGAUCGCGCUUUAAGGGUCCAACCUAUUAGUUGACCACUUGCCCUAUAUCCCUCUCUUCAUUCUACCUUUCUGCAUUUUUCGUUGCCACCCUCUUGUUAGUUACUUCUCUUCUUGCCAUGGAGUUUUCUGCGAUCAAGGCAAGUAGGGCUACCCCUUCUUCUGUU